CGCCUGUUUAACAAAAACAUGUCUAUAUGAUUGUUAUAUAAAGUCUAGCCUGCCCACUGAUUAGAAUUUAAAGGGCCGCGGUAUACUGACCGUGCGAAGGUAGCAUAAUCAUUAGUCUUUUAAUUGAAGGCUUGUAUGAAUGGUUGGACAAAAAGUAAGCUGUCUCAGUUAUAAGUAUUGAACUUAACUUUUAAGUGAAAAGGCUUAAAUGAAUUAAGGGGACGAUAAGACCCUAUAAAGCUUGACAAUAAGUCAAUUAUAUUAUAAAUUGUUAGUGUAACUUGAUUUUAAUUGGCAUUUGUUACGUUGGGGCGACGAGAAUAUAAUGAGUAACUGUUUUUAAAUAUUUAAUAACAAAUAUAGUUGGUAUUUUAUUGAUCCUUUAUUAAAGAUUAAAAGAUUAAGUUACUUUAGGGAUAACAGCGUGAUCUUCUUUGAGAGUUCAUAUCGACAAGAAGGUUUGCGACCUCGAUGUUGAAUUAAGGUAUCCUUAUGAUGCAGCAGUUAUAAAGGAAGGUCUGUUCGACCUUUAAAUCCUUACAUGAUCUGAGUUCAGACCGG
RNAcentral lists this ribosomal RNA (561 nucleotides) under Penaeus semisulcatus. RNAcentral describes it as "partial large subunit ribosomal RNA". It matches the Rfam family "Bacterial large subunit ribosomal RNA", at positions 1797 to 2619 of the family's 2925-position model. The record is from RNAcentral. Lineage: Eukaryota; Metazoa; Arthropoda; Malacostraca; Decapoda; Penaeidae. RNAcentral also lists the same sequence under 1 other name.